UACAGAGGGGGCAAGCGUUGUUCGGAAUUACUGGGCGUAAAGGGCGCGUAGGCGGCCUGUUAAGUCGAACGUGAAAUCCCCGGGCUCAACCCGGGAACUGCGUCCGAUACUGGCAGGCUUGAAUCCGGGAGAGGGAUGCGGAAUUCCAGGUGUAGCGGUGAAAUGCGUAGAGAUCAGCAGGAAUACCCGUGGCGAAGGCGGCCCCCUGGGCCCUACCUGACGCUGAGGCGCGAAGGCUAGGGGAGCGAACGGG
This 253-nucleotide ribosomal RNA is filed under the name uncultured bacterium. RNAcentral's name for it is "partial 16S ribosomal RNA". It matches the Rfam family "Bacterial small subunit ribosomal RNA", at positions 524 to 776 of the family's 1533-position model. The record is from RNAcentral.